GAUGAACGCUGGCGGCGUGCCUAAUACAUGCAAGUCGAGCGAAGGACGAGAAGCUUGCUUCUCUGAUGUUAGCGGCGGACGGGUGAGUAACACGUGGAUAACCUACCUAUAAGACUGGGAUAACUUCGGGAAACCGGAGCUAAUACCGGAUAAUAUUUUGAACCGCAUGGUUCCAAAGUGAAAGACGGUCUUGCUGUCACUUAUAGAUGGAUCCGCGCUGCAUUAGCUAGUUGGUAAGGUAACGGCUUACCAAGGCAACGAUGCAUAGCCGACCUGAGAGGGUGAUCGGCCACACUGGAACUGAGACACGGUCCAGACUCCUACGGGAGGCAGCAAUAGGGAAUCUUCCGCAAUGGGCGAAAGCCUGACGGAGCAACGCCGCGUGAGUGAUGAAGGUCUUCGGAUCGUAAAACUCUGUUAUUAGGGAAGAACAUAUGUGUAAGUAACUGUGCACAUCUUGACGGUACCUAAUCAGAAAGCCACGGCUAACUACGUG
This 496-nucleotide ribosomal RNA is filed under the name uncultured bacterium. Its description in RNAcentral is "partial 16S ribosomal RNA". It matches the Rfam family "Bacterial small subunit ribosomal RNA", at positions 28 to 507 of the family's 1533-position model. The record is from RNAcentral.